UUUAUGAUAAUUUGUGUUUUCUUUUAGUUCAUUCUUAUACAAUUCCUUUAAUAUCGAAAUUAAAAAACAAAGUACAUAAUUUAUUGAGUUGGCUGUUGUAACAUAUAGUUAUGACAUUAUUCAUGUUCCAAAAUAAUGGAAAGCCAAUCCAAGAUGAUUGAUCUAUAUGUUCAAGAUGCUUGAAAGGAGUGUCAUGAGUCUUUUUAUGGUACCAUUUGCAUAUUAGUGUAAGAGUUAUUAUUCUUAAACUAACUUUUUUCUUCUUUUUUUAUUUUUGCGGAAUUAUAGGUGAGAAUCAAGUUUAAUCGAACUAUCCUUGGGACUGAUUUUUACUGGAAGAUAACCUCAUAUUUCAUAAUGUCAUUCAUUGUUGGCAUACAAAAGCUCAAUCAUUAAACAACUUAUGAAAUAAAAGGGUGGUCGAUUAAGAGAGGAAGAAUGGAUUCAAAAGUUGAUCUCCACUUCCCACGCUUUUGAAGGCUUCAAUCAUGACUCAAAGAACAAGUUGGUUUAUUUAAAGGUUUUGGAAUCUCCUUGCAUGUUGUGGAAGUGUAUUUAGCUUCUAAAUAAAAGUAGAAUUCAAAUCCAGUAUCAACUUUCAAUUACUACAAAUUGCCACUCAAAUCUCCUUACAACCUUUCUAUUAGUUGUUUCUUUAUGCUUCUUCAAUGAUACUAUUAACAUUAUUUUAUGUUACUUUUGAUGGAAUCAUUUUCUAAUAUUUGUCUAUUUGGAUAUUGUAAUUUUUGGAUGAAACAUGAGUUGUUUCUUCUACUCUUCUACUCUAUUGUACUUCAUCUUUCUUACAUGGGCAUGCCCAAGAUUCUUGUGAAUCAUGUAAAUUUAGUGAUUGUUGCUUAUAUUUGAUAUUAAGAUUUGUUUAUAAUUCUUUUUUUAAUAUUUAUUUUAUUUACUUUCUAAUACUUUGUUUUUAUUGGGGGCUUCUCUCAGGUUUGUGAUCAAAGUGAGAUGCAUGAAAUUUUAAAAUCCAAAUUAGGAAAGAAAUCAGUCUUCUAUAAUAUAUAUUGCAAUGAGAAACUAUGUUCUUUAAAGCUUUGGUACAACAUUAUUUUUUUCAAGGAAAAUUUUGAAAUUUUGUGUUUUAGAACUUAUUUUUAGAAAAUGUGAAAAACAUAAUAAAAAUGUUUGGACUAUAAUUCAAGAGGGUUGUAGUUAAUCUAAGUCUAACUUAAUCUCUUUUUUUAAAAAAAAAAAUAGGUUUAUCAAGUUGUCCAGGGUAAAAAUCUACAUUUUUUUUAACUUUAUUUAAUAUAUUUAUAUUAAAAUUAAAAUAAUUAAUGAGACUAUUUCAAGAUAAUAAUUAAAAAAUUAAAAAAUAAAUUUAUAUGUCUUUUUAGAAAAAUGAGAUAAGAGUAAUUACAAUUUAAUAUUUUUUUCCUAUAAAAUUAAAAAAUAAAUCAAAUGAAUAUUAUUAGUGUUGAGUUAUGUAAAACCUAAUUAUACCAUACACUUUCACCAUAACAAUGACCAACCUUCGUGGUGCUAAGGUUAGUGAGUGUGGGGGUUCCAGACAUAAACCCCAAUAGGUUGAGAUUAGGUUGUGGCCACAUGGAAAAUUGUAUAGUAUCAUUAGGUUACACUCAAUUUAAUAAACCUAAUCUUAUUUUUCUAAACUUAGGUUGAAAUUAAAUUAGUUAGAAUAUAUUCAAGGUGGUCGAAUUAAUUAAGUCAUGUAAUUCGUAAUCCAUUCAUAAUGUUUUUUUUCUUAUAUAUUUAUACCAAAAUCUAAAUAGUAAGUUGGAUACAAUUACGAUCCAAUAACAAAAAUGUAAAAAGAAAUUUAUAUAUCCUUAUAAAAAAUUAAAAAGUUAUAUAAUAGAAUUAUAAUUUGAUAUUUUUUUUCUUAAAAAUAAAAAAGAGAAUAAAUAAAAUGAACACUUUUAAUGUAAGAUUAUAUAAAUUAUAAAUAAUAUAAAAUUAUUAAAUUAGAUUCAUCAUCCAAACCUUAGUAUGAGUGUAACUCAAAUUAAGUUCAAAUCGAAAAAAACUUUACCUAAACUCAACAACUUUAAAAAUGAUUAUCUGCACCCGUCUAAAAGUAGGAUUUUUUUAGAGUCCUAUUUCUCUAUUUUUAACUUAAUUUUAUUUUUUUUCAACGGAAUUAUAGAUAAGGAUCAAGUUUAAUCAAACUAUCCUUGGGAUUGGCUUUUACUGGAAAACAACCUCAUACUUCAUAAUGGCAUUCAUUGUUGACACACAAAAGCUUAAUCAUUAAACAAUUUAUGAAAUAAGAGAAUGGUUGAUUAAAAGAUGAAGAAUGGAUUCAAAAAUUGAUCUCCACUUCUGGCACUUUUGGAAGCUUCAAUCAUGCCUCAACGAACCAUUUGGUUUAUUUAAAGCUUUUGGAAUCUCCUUGCAUGUUGUGGAAGUGUAUUUAGCUUCUAAAUAGAAGUAGAAUUCAAAUCCAGUAUCAACUUUCAAUUACUACAAAUUGCCACUCAAAUCUCCUUACAACAUUUCUAUUAGUUGUUCUUUUAUGUUUCUUCAAUGAUACAAUUAGCAUAAUUUUAUGUUACUUUGAUGGAAUCAUUUUCUAAUAUUUGUCUAUUUGGAGAUUGUAAUUUUUGGAUGAAACUUGAAUCUUUUCUUCUAUUCUUCUACUCUAUUGUACUUCAUCUUUCUUACAUGCAUGCCCAAGAUUCUUGAAAAUCAUGUCAAUUUAGUGUUUGUUGUUUGUAUUUGAUAUUAAUAUUUGUUUAAAAUUCUUGUUUUUAAUAUUUAUUUUCUAAUACUUGGUUUGUUUUUGUUUUUAUAAGGGGCUUCUCUCAUGUUUGUGAUCAAAGUGAGAUGUAUGAAUUUGAAAAUCCAAAUUAGAAAAGAAAAUCAAUCUUCUACAAUAUAUAUAGCAAUGAGAAACUAUUUUCUUUAAGGGAGAAUUAUGUUUUGGGGGUAGAUGGACCCCCAAAUUAACAAAAGGUCCAUGUAACUCUUCAAAUUGAGCCCAAGACCCAAUGAAAGUAUGGAAAUUGAGUUGAAGGAUAUCAUCCUUCAGUAUUUCCAAAAAUACCAUUUGUUAAUUUUGAGAAAAAAAAUUAAUAUUUUUUAAAAAUACUUUUAUUUAAUUUAAUAUUUUUUAUUUAAUUUAAUAUUUUUAAAAAAUACUUUUAUGUAAUUUAAUAUUUUUUAAAAUAAUUUUAUUUAAUUUAAUAUUUUUAAAAAAAAAUUUAAUUUAAUAUUUUUGAAAAAAAAUUAUUUAAUUUAAUAUUUUUGAAAACUACUUUUAUUUAAUUUAGUAUUUUUGAAAAAAAAAUUAUUGAAAAAAAAUUAUUUAACUUAAUUUUAUAAAAUAUUUUAUAUGUGUUCUUAAAGGGUAUAUUUGUCCGUUACUAUUUCAUAUCCUUCAACUCAAUUUGAAGAGUUAUAUGGGCAUUUUGUUAAUUUGGAGGUCCAUCUACCCCCAAAAAUAAUUCUCCCUUUCUUUAAAGCUUUGGUACAACACUUUCUUUUUUUUUGGAAAUUUUUUAAAUUUAGUGUUUUAGAACUUAUUUUUAGAAAAUGUAAAAAAACAUAGUAAAAAUGUUAGGGCUAUAAUUUGAUAGGGUUAUAGUCAAUCUAAGUCUAAUUCAAUCGCAUUUUUUUAAAACAAGUUUAUCAAGUUGUUAGCAAUGAAAAUCUACAUUCUUUUUUAACUUUAUUUGAUAUAUUUAUGUUAAAAUUUAAAUAAUUAAUGAGACUAUUUCAAGAUAAUAAUUAAACAUAAAAAAUAAAUUUUUAUAUCUUUCUAGAAAAAUGAAAUAAAGUAAUUAUAAUUUAAUAUUUUUUCCUUAUUAUUAAAUAAAUUAAUUAAUUAAAUAUUAUUAGUGUUGAGUUAUGUGAAGCCUAAUUAUACUACACACUUUUCACCAUAACAAUCGACUGACCUUCAUGGUGUUAAGGUCGACAUGUGUGGGGGUUUGAGGCAUAAGCCCCAAAAGAUUGAGAUUAGGUUGUAAUAGUAGAGAAAAGUUUAUAGUAUGAUUAGGCUCCACAUAAUUUAACAUAAUCUAAUUUUAUUUUUCUAAACUUAGGUUAAGAUUAGAUUGGUUGGAUUAUAUUUGGUUUGGUCAAAUUGAUCGAGUCUUAUAAUUCAUAAUCCAUUAGCAAUGGUUUUUUAUUUAUUAAUUUUUGUUUAUUUAUACCAAAAUAUAAAUUGUAAGUUGGAUACAAUGUCAAAAUAAUAACAAAAAUGUAAAAAUAAAUUUAAAUAUCUUUAUAAAAAAAGGUUAUAUAAUAGAAUUAUAUUUGAUAUUUUUUUCUCAAAAAUAAAAAGAGAGAAUAAAUAAAAUAAAUACUUUUAAUAAUAAAUUAUUAUUAUUAUUAUUAUUAUUAUUAUUAUUAUUAUUACAAACUUAAUUCAAUUGCACUCAACAUGAUUAAGCCUUUUUAUUUUCAUUUUUUAAAAUAAUAAAUCGUUUUCACUUUAAUUUUCAAGCAAAGAUUACAAAAUUUGAACACCAUUAUAAGCAAUUUUUAUUUAACCCUUCAAUAAGAAAGAAAAUUAAUCUAACAAUUUUUAAGAAAGCUUAUUUAUGAACUUCUCAAAUUAAUUUUUAUUAUAUUCUUCUUCCAAUCUAAACCAGCUAAUAGAUGCCCUUUUAUCCAUAUAAUAUUUUACAUGAGAUGUUCUUCUUGAUGCUGAGGAGCAGCAGGGCCAAAGCCAUGAAUUGCAGCAAGGAGGAAUAGCAAGGCAGGUAGGUGACUUUAUUGUGGGUAUUGGGGGGUUUAGGCAAGACCACCCUGAUGCAUGAAAUUUUAAAAUAGAAAUUAGGCAAGAAAAUUUAGUCUCCGGCAAUAUAUAUAGCAAUGAGACACAUAGAUGGUUGUCUGGGGUUUCUGGUUUGUAGAGAGAGAAAGGGAGGUUUAUAGAGAGAGAAGAUCGACUAGGUUGGGGUUUGAAAUUGAAUUUUGGGCAGGAUCCAAAACAGAUGGUAGAGAUUGGAUCCUGGGGAUCUGACAAUGGAGUUUGGAGUUUGAAUUUGUCAUAGGCUAUAACACACUGGCAAUGUUAAAGCCCAAAUUUAAUGGGCUGGGAUAUGUACUUCUCACUUUUGGGCUUUGGUCCAACAGCCCAACUUCUUUUAUUUUUUAAAAAUUAAUUAAAUACGUGAUUAAACAUAUCCUUUUUUUUUUUUAUCUAUUUGAUUAAUGGGAUAUAAUAUAAUUCAUGGUUUGGGAUCUUUGGUGCUUAUCAAAUUUUGUUCUUGGAUUUUUUUUAAAGUGGGACAAGUAAGUACAUACUUUUUACUUGAGGGGUAACUAGCAACUUUUCCAUAAUUAAAUUUUACAUGACUAUAAUAUAUUUAUUGGAAAUAAUUUUUUCUCCCUAAAAUUUUUUAUUUAAUUGCUACAAAAUAAUUUUAAUUAUUGAAAUUAUUUUAUUGUUACUCUAAUUAAAUUACGGUGGGCUUUGGGUUUGGGUUUUGGACAAACCUAAGGCCAACUUAAACCUAAUAUAUAUUUUACAUAAAUUUCAAACUAUACGUAUAUGAUAGUUUUGUUAUUUUGAGUGUCAUAAGGGAAUGAUAAGAAGCUGAGCUUGAAUUGGAUAGCUUGGAUUGGAUUCGACAAAUGAUAAGAAGUCGAGAUUCACUUUCUUUUCCUUUUUCUAAUAUAUUUCUUUCACUUUUCCUUUUUAGUUUUUUUAAUAAAAUUUCAUCCUACCCCACUUUCAAAAAUAAAAAGUUAAAAAAUGACUGGCUUGAGACUGUUCAAAAUCUAAUUUUUUUUUUUUAAAGGUGAGGAAGAUGAGUUAUGCUUUCUUUGUACAAGCCCACUCUUCACGUAGUUCCUUUUAUGAUAUACUAUCUAAUACUUUUUUCAUUAGUUUCCAUCUCCAUUAUCUUAAAAAUUCAAAUACAAAUUAUCAAAUUUACAAAAGGUAUAAACAAUUGUGAAAUAAUAAGAUGUUACCAAUGCUACAACAAUAUCCACAAUGAUAAUACUUCGAGUACUAUAAAUUUAUUAGCUUUAAUUUUUUUGUUCUUUUUAAUUUGUAAAGAAAUGCGGUGAUAUUAUACAAGUCUUUUUGUAAGGUGACUAAGGUUUUUCACACAUGAAACUAUACCAUAAAUGUAUAAACUAUUUAAAUAUAAAAAUUAAGGAUUAUGUUAAGUUCUUGGAUAUUACUAAGAAAUUGACAAAAAAAAAAUAGUUAGAAAAAUGAUUAAUUUUUUUAUAUCUGCAUGUUAUAGAAAAAUAUGAUGAAAACAUAUUAAGAAAAAUAGGAGAAAAUUGCUAAAAGUUUUCCCGACCUUUUUCCUUAUAUAAAGGUGAGUAAAACUUGAUGAAAGUGUAUUUCUUAAAAUUUUAAUUUUUUAUUUUUCUCUCAACUUUUUCAUGAAUAUGUUAUUAACAUAAAAAAAAAUAUAGUAAAAGGAAAAUAUGAUUUUACAAAAUUUAUCCAAAGUAAAAAAAUAAACGAUGCAUAAUAAUUUUCUUUUUUCCUGGCUUUAUUCUUACAAUUUACUUUUGAUGGAAGUAAAUUAUUUUGCGUCAACUCAAAUUCAGCCUUUUCAAAAAGUAAUGGGAAUCCAAUGAAUUUUUUCAAAUUCAUUUUAAUUUAUGACCCACCAUGUGAAGGAGUAAUCAUUUUCUAGGUGAUAGGAUUCCAAAUCAAUUAUUUCAAAUUCACAUUGCUUUAUAGCCCACUUUUUCAAAAGUUGCUAUCAUCAUUUCCUUGCAGGCUCUUUGCCCUGUCUCCCACUAAUUCCUUGGGAAAGAACAAGACUUCUUUCUUCCAAGCAUGCAAAUUCCAAAAUGAUAUUAUCUACUAUUUUAAAUCUAAGAACCCUACCUAUAUAUAUGUGAUGGGAUCCACUACUUUUCAAGCAGGCUCCCAACUUCCAUGGAAACUCUAGGGCCUCUCGACAUCUUUCUAUACAUUUAUUUAUUUUUUAAAACUAUUAUUUUCAUAACAUUGCUUUAAAGAAGUUGUUUUUUUUUCCAUAUUUUUCUAAAAUAAUAGUAAAAAAGUUUUGAUAUACUAUCUAAUACUUUUUUCAUUAGUUUCCAUCUCCACUAUCUUAAAAAUUCAAAUACAAAUUAUCAAAUUUACAAAAGGUAUAAACAAUUGUGAAAUAAUAUGUUACCAAUAUCCACAAUGAUAAUACUUCAAGUACUAUAAAUUUAUUAGCUUUGAUUUUUUUUCUUUUUAAUUUGUAAAUAAAUGUGGUGAUAUUAUACAAGUCUUUUUGUAACGCGACCCCCUUCUCGCGGUUAAGGUAACGACUUCGGGCAUGGCCAGCUCCCAUAGUGUGACGGGCGGUGUGUACAAGGCCCGGGAACGAAUUCACCGUUGUAUGGCUGAUCGACGAUUACUAGCAAUUCCGGCUUCAUGCAGGCGAGUUGCAGCCUGCAAUCCGAACUGAGGACGGGUUUGAAUUCCCGAUAGAAAGAGAUUUCGCGAACGCAAAAGCCUUUAAUGCGGCCCGUCAUCCCUUCCUUUUGGAAAGCUUUCCAUUCUUCCAAGUGAUGAAGCAAGGGAAGGCAGUAGUGGGGAAUUUUCCGCAAUGGGCGAAAGCCUGACGGAGGAAUGCCGCGUGGAGGUAGAAGGCCCACAGGUCGUGAUUAGGAUCAGAAUGACAAAUACAAUAGAUUUUAAACUAUACCAUAAAUGUAUAAACUAUUUAAAUAUAAAAAUUAAGGAUUAUGUUAAGUUCUUGGAUAUUACUAAGAAAUUGACAAAAAAAAUUGUUAGAAAAAUGAUUAAUUUUUUUAUAUCUGCAUGUUAUAGAAAAAUAUGGUGAAAACAUAUUAAGAAAAAUAGGAGAAAAUUGCUAAAAGUUUUCCUGACUUUUUUCCUUAUAUAAAGGUGAGUAAAACUUGAUGAAAGUGUAUUUCUUAAAAUUUUAAUUUUUUAUUUUUCUCUCAACUUUUUCAUGAAUAUGCUAUUAACAUAAAAAAAAAAUAUAGUAAAAGGAAAAUAUGAUUUUACAAAAUUUAUCCAAAGUAAAAAAAUAAACGGUGCAUAACAAUUUUCUUUUUUCUUGGCUUUAUUCUUAUAAUUUACUUUUGAUGGAAGUAAAUUAUUUUGGGUCAACUCAAAUUCAGCCUUUUCAAAAAGUAAUGGGAAUCCAAUGAAUUUUUUCAAAUUCAUUUUAAUUUAUAACCCACCAUGUGAAGGAGUAAUCAUUUUCUAGGUGAUAGGAUUCCAAAUCAAUUAUUUCAAAUUCACAUUGCUUUAUAGCCCACUUUUUCAAAAGUUGCUAUCAUCAUUUCCUUGCAGGCUCUUUGCCCUGUCUCCCACUAAUUCCUUUGGAAAGAACAAGACUUCUUUCUUCCAAGCAUGCAAAUUCCAAAAUGAUAUUAUCUACUAUUUUAAAUCUAAGAACCCUACCUAUAUAUAUGUGAUGGGAUCCACUACUUUUCAAGCAGGCUCCCAACUUCCAUGGAAACUCUAGGGCCUCUCGACAUCUUUUUAUACAUUUAUUUAUUUUUUAAAACUAUUAUUUUCAUAACAUUGCUUUAAAGAAGUUUUUUUUUUUCCAUAUUUUUCUAAAAUAAUAGUAAAAAAGUUUUGAAAAUUAAUUUCCUUUUUCUCACUUUUUUUUCAAUGGAUAUCUAGACAAAAGAAAUUUUUUUUAUAAAUUUUUCUUCUCCUUUUCUUUUAUUUUUAAAAUUUUUUACUUUAUUUUUAUUUUUUUCUAACUUUCUGAAAAUUGUUAUAUAAGCAGCCAAACAAGACUUCUUCCUUCCAAGCACGCAGACCAUAUUCCACAAUAAUAUGAUAUAUUAUAGGAAACUUCUAUGGUGCUGAGGGAGGUACCAUACCUCAGAUUUUUUAUAGUCGUUGGAUGCAAGAGUUUAAAUCUCAGCCAUUGAAAAGAAAAAGAAAAAAAGGAAAAAGGAAAACUGGCUACCUGUUGUCUCCCCCUCUCAGGCCAUUUUCCCGUUUGUUCCCUCUUUCCCGUUUGUUCCCUCUCUUCCCUCAUUUUCUACCUGUUCUCUCCCCCUCUUAGCCCCUCUCUCUUCUCCUCCAUAGUCGAGCGUCUUCUCCUCUAGCUGUGUCUCGUGCUCUCGUCUCCAGCUGUGUCUCGUGCUCUCAUCUCCACACUCCUCCAUAGCCGAGCGUCUUCAGCCCCUCUCUUCUCCUCCAUAGCCGAGCAUCUUCUCCUCCAGCCGUGUCUCGUGCUCUCAUCUCCAGCUGUGUCUCGUGCUCUCAUCCCCACACUCCUCCAUAGGCGGCCGUCUUGUCCUCCAUAGUCGGUUGUGUCCCCGUGCUCUGAUCUCCACUCAUUCUCGACAGCCGAGUCUAGAAAUCCUAUCUUCGGAAGAAACGCAAGAGGCAAAUGCGAGACAAUGAAGAAAUGAGGGAAAGAAAGCACUGAAGAAGGAGAUAGAGACCCCUCUCACGAUUAAUCUUCAGUCGAGUUUCUGUUUUCUCCAUUUUUUAUCGAGUUUGCCGAUAUUUUCCUCUCUUCUCCAUACUCGACUCUUCUCAGGUAUCUCCAUCGACUGUUAUUUUCAGGUGCUUUAAGUUGUCUUUGUGUAUUGUUGGAUGUUUUUGUGUUAUUGGGUGUUUUCGGGUAAGAUAUUGUAGCUGUUCCGGGGGACAUCUUUUUGAGUUCUGGCUUUUUUAGUAUCCCCUUUGAUUAUGUCCAUAUUUAGUUUUCAUAUUUGGGGUUUUUUCGGGUUUUGAAGUAAAGAGUACGAUAUUCCCGCUCCCUCCCUCCUAUCCAUAACCCUUGUAUUUUGUUCAUAUUUUAUAUUUUGUUUAAGGGGUGUUUUUGGCUUUUAAAUUUCCUGGUUUGAAGACCCGAAUUGAAGACAUAGCUGGAAGAAAAAGAAGAAAAAAUGUGAGUAUUGAUAAUGUGUUUUACAAUAUUAUAGCCAUUAUAUUUCAUGCUUUUUGUGAGAUUUAUAGAUUGAUGACAUUAAUGAAAAUAAUGUGGUUAGAUCCAUAAUUGUAGAUUGAAAAAGAUUGAUAUGCUAAAUUUGUGACCAUUUAAAAUGUACAUAGAUUUAGGGAAGAUUUUGUAGUGGUGGUGAAAGUAUGUUUGAUUUAUUAUAUUUGAAAUCAUAUUAUAAAAAUUGACUUAAAUGCUUUGAUUUAAUUUUUAGGAGCGAACGCGAUGGACUUGAAGUUGUUAGAAAUCCAAAGAGGCCUAUCGGCGCUUGGAUACAUUACUAGUAAGGGAAAAUAGAAAUAUGUAAAAUAAUAUGUUUUUUAAUGUAUUUUUUGUGGUUGUUAUUGUUAAAUUUGUUUGAAAUUGUUUUGUAGUAAUGAUCAAUUAGCCAUGAUGAAAGAGAAGGAUAAAGGAGUGAAGAUAAAUGAUGAUGUAAGGAGUAAUUUUGCUAGUCUAAUAUAAUUACAUUUUAAAAUUAGAAUUUAAAUUAUGUGACCAAUUAAUGUAGUUGAGGAAAAAAUUGGGCAAGAAGUGGAAUGCACUUUCAAAAGUAGAAAAAGAAAAUUUCAUGGCAAAGUCCAAAGAAAGUUCAAAACAAUAUUCACUUCAAAAGGGUGUAGUUCCAAAGGUAAUUUUUUUUUGUAAUGAAUAUUUAAUUUCUUUACUUAUGUAUUUGUUGGAAAUUAUAUUAAUGUAAACAUGUUUGAUGUUUGUGUAUCUUUUCAGUUAUAUCUUCAGACUCGAUGCUCCCCCGAGCGAGUUAUUAGAGUGAUUGAAAAUUUAGAACCAAAGCAAAAGGCAGCCAUAGAAGAAAUAGGAUUUGGUAGCCUCUUGCAACUUCGAUGUAGGAAAAUUGAUCAUGGGUUAUGUCUUUGGUUGAUAAAUAGUUUUAAUCCGAACACUUAUAUGUUACAGUUGUAUAAUACUUGUAUCAAAUUAUCCCCCAUUGAUGUUGAAUUCAUUAUGGGAUUGAGGGCAAGAGGGUUCAAGAUUGGCAUGAACAAAGAUGUUGGUCAUAAGAAUGAUUUAUGUAAAAAAUAUUGUGAUAAAAAAGGGCGAUUGCCAUUAGUGAUGUUAGAAAAUCAAAUUAGGGAGGAUAAAGAGGGUGGAAACGAUUUUAAAGUUCGUUUUGUAUUAUUUGUGUUGGGUGCAUUAUUGUGCCCAACAAUGAAGCUUUUUGUGAAUCGCUCUUUCUUACAUCUUGUGGAAGACAUCGAUUAAUUAAAGAAGAUGAAUUGGGCAGAAUUUGUGUUGUCCUAUCUUGUGCACGGGAUUGAAGAGUUUAAGAAGAAACAACAAAGUGGGGUUUACGGUUGCUUAUUGUUUUUAAUGGUAAUUAAUUUACAUCAUAGUGAAUUACGAUUUUGUUUUAAUAUAAUUUAUGAACUAACUAUAUAUCUAUGUCAAAUAUACUCGUAGUUAUUCUACCACGAGCAUAUAUCGUUUGAAGAGAAAUUUCUACCGCUAUAUACUUGACUUUCUCCUCGGAUUACUGCUUGGGGAGAUGAUGAAGUAUUGGACAGGAAACGAAGAUUGAAAAAACUUAGUGGAUAUGCAAAUGAGAAUGUAAGUUAUAGUUUUGAAAGUCGUUUGCUAUUGAUUUAAGUUUUUAGUGAUUUAAAAUCUGAUAUGUAUUAUAUUUUGAUGAAUAUAUUGUAGCUCAAAAUAUGGGUGAUAGAAAAUGAGAUAAGGGAUUGCGUUGAUGGAAAUGCAACGAUAAUGGCGAGUGAGAAUGAGGACGAUGAGAAAUUUGUAUCCAAUCUAAACAAAGAUGUUAUUAAACGAAUAAGUGUUUUACAAUAUUCAUCGUGACUAUCUAUAUUAGCAUUGAACCUUUGUAUUAUGAUGUUAUUAAUCACGUUCGUAUAUAUCACUAGGUUGAUGGUGGGAACUUAAUGGAGAUGGAUAAAACCUUUCAACAAUUAAAGACACAUCUAAUUGAUAUGGCGUAUGGUGCAAGUAGUCGUAGUUGUGAUCAAAUUUUGGCUAAAUUUGAGGAGAAUUAUACUACAGUGAAAGGUCUCUUCCUUAGGUCAAGCGGAAAACCUUUGAGAAUGCACGAGGAAGGAACGAAGAAUGACAUGCUCUCAUGCGAGAGAAGUUUGGAAGAUACGAACAAUAUGAAUGUGAAUGAACAUUAUCUUCACACUUUGUCAAAUGACAAGUUAUGCACCGAGGACUUGAAUGAAAGAAUGAGAUGCAUGUGCUACNNNNNNNNNNNNNNNNNNNNNNNNNNNNNNNNNNNNNNNNNNNNNNNNNNNNNNNNNNNNNNNNNNNNNNNNNNNNNNNNNNNNNNNNNNNNNNNNNNNNNNNNNNNNNNNNNNNNNNNNNAAUACUAAAAAAUUCACAAGGGUACGAAGAAUGUGAGGAAUCCUCACAUUCUUCGUACACUCCCAAAUCUCCAUUUCUUUGGACUUUUUAAAAUUUUUUGGGGCUUCAUAUGGCUUGGAUGUUGCUUGAAUAGGUCCGUUACACUUAGAAGGUGGUCAAAUGAUAUCCGAAAAAAUCGAAAUCCAAAAAUACUAAAAAAUUCCCUCACAUUCUUCGUACCCUCCCAAAUCUCCAUUUAUUUGGACUUUUUAAAAUUUUUUGGUGCUUCAUAUAAUAGGUCCGUUACACUUAGAAGGUGGUCAAAUGAUAUCCGGAAAAAUCAAAAUCCAAAAAUACUAAAAAAUUCACGAGGGUACGAAGAAUGUGAGGAUUCCUCACAUUCUUCGUACCCUCCCAAUCUCCAUUUCUUUGGACUUUUUAAAAUUUUUUGGGGCUUCAUAUGGCUUGGAUGUUGCUUGAAUAGGUCCAUUACACUUAGAAGGUGGUCAAAUGAUAUCCGGAAAAAUCAAAAUCCAAAAAUACUAAAAAAUUCACAAGGGUACGAAGAAUGUGAGGAAUCCUUACAUUCUUCGUACCCUCCCAAAUUUCCACUUCUUUCGACUUUUUAAAAUUUUUUGCGCCAUCAUAUGGCUUGAAUGUUGCUUGAAUAGGUCCGUUACACGUAGAAGGUGGUCAAAUGAUAUCCGUAAAAAUCAAAAUGGAAAAAUACUAAAAAAUUCACAAGGGUACGAAGAAUGUGAGGAAUCCUCACAUUCUUCGUACCCUCCCAAAUCUCCACUUCUUUGGACUUGUUAAAAUUUUUUGGGCCAUCAUAUGGCUUGAAUGUUGCUUGAAUAGGUCCGUUACACUUAGAAGGUGGUCAAUGACAUCCGGAAAAAUCGAAAUCGAAAAUACUAAAAAAUUCACAAGGGUACAAAGAAUGUGAGGAAUCCUCACAUUCUUCGUACCCUCCCAAUCUCNCUUCUUUGGACUUUUAAAUUUUUUGGACAUCAUAUGGUUGGAUGUUGCUUGAAUAGGUCCGUUACACUUAGAAGGUGGUCAAAUGAUAUCCGGAAAAAUCAAAAUCCAAAAAUACUAAAAAAAUUCAAAAGGAUACAAAGAAUGUGAGGAAUCCUCACAUUCUUCAUACCCUCCAAAAUCUCCAUUUCUUUGGACUUUUUAANNNNNNNNNNNNNNNNNNNNNNNNNNNNNNNNNNNNNNNNNNNNNNNNNNNNNNNNNNNNNNNNNNNNNNNNNNNNNNNNNNNNNNNNNNNNNNNNNNNNUCAAAUGAUAUCCGGAAAAAUCGAAAUCCAAAAAUACUAAAAAAUUCACAAGGGUACGAAGAAUGUGAGGAAUCCUCACAUUCUUCGUACCCUCCCAAAUCUCCACUUCUUUGGACUUUUUAAAAUUUCUUGGGCCAUCAUAUGGCUUGGAUGUGUGCUUGAAUAGGUCUGUUACACUUAGAAGGUGGUCAAAUGAUAUCCGGAAAAAUCGAAAUCCAAAAAUACUAAAAAAUUCACAAAGGUACGAAGAAUGUGAGGAAUCCUCACAUUCUUCGUACCCUCCCAAAUCUCCACUUCUUUGGACUUUUUAAAAUUUUUUGGGUCAUCAUAUGGCUUGGAUGUUGCUUGAAUAGGUUGAUUCCACUUAGGCGGUGUUCGAAUAAGUCCCGAAAAAUUAAAAGCUAAAAAUACUAAAAAAUUAGAAAAGGUCCGAAGAAUGUGAGGAUUCCUCACAUUCUUCGUACCGUCCCAAAUCUUCACUUAUUUGAAGUUUUAAAAAUUUUGUUGGACUUCAUAUGCCUUGGAUAUUGUCUAAAUAGGUUGAGUCCACUUAGGUGGUGUUCGAAUGAGUCCUGGUAAAAUUAAAAGCCAAAAAUAUUAAAAAAUUAGAUAAGGUACACAGAAUGUGAGGAAUCCUCACAUUCUUCAUACUCUCCCAAAUCUCCACUUCUUUGAAGUUUUAAAAUUUUUUUGGACUUCAUUUGCCUUGGAUAUUGUUUAAAUAGGUUGAUUCCACUUAGGCGGUGUUUGAAUGAGUCCUGGAAAAAUCCAAAUCCAAAAAUAUUAUAAAAUUGGACGGGGUACGAAGACUGUAAGAAAUCCUCACCAUUUUCCGCUUGUAUGAGGGUGUGAAAUGGAUUCUUCAAAAUUCAAAAUGGAAAUAUACGAAAAAAUAUUGUGAGGCGUUUUGAUUUCCAUAUGGUUAGUAAUUAUACAUUUUUCGUAUUUUCAAUAUUUCAAUUAAUUUUUUUGUGUAAUUCAAUUUAAACGCUAAGAAAUAAUUUGGUCAUAUAUUAUCAAUUAAUAAUUAGUACACAAUUAAUUUAAUAUAAAUUUAAUAUUUAUAUUUUAUAUCAUUUAUUUAUAUUUUUUCUUUUUUUUUCACUUCAUAAACAAAUUAUAUUGCUUUUCACACUUCAAAUAUUUUUCAAAUUUUGUCAACAAAUUAUUUGAUGUUAAAAUAAAGUAUAUUUACUUUUCCUUAAUUUAUAAAUUUUAUCACCAAAUUAGUUUGAAUUUUUUUUAUUUAAAAUUUAAUUUUUAUCUUGGGUUUAAUCACUUUAUAUUACAAAAAAAAAUGCUAUUUAUUUUUUCAAAUUUCUCUUUAUUUUUCUGUUGCACAAAAAAAAUUCCCCAAACAAAAUAAUUACAUUAAACAGGAAUUUAUAAUUGGUUGUUGUAAUGGAUGUAAAAAUGUGUGUUGCAUGGGAUUAAUUCCCAUGGCAACCGGUUACCAACCUGAAGAAUUGGUUUUGUAUAUUAUUUUUCCAUGCCAUGUGUCUUCAUCUUGUGAGUCCAAAAAAGUGGGUAUGGUACCGAAAAACCACUUUUCGGUACCCUAGCAUAACCCUAUAUUAUAUAAGCAAGCAUGCAGACCAUGUUCCACAAUAAUAUCAUAUAUUAUAUAAGCAGCCAAACAAGACUUCUUCCUUCCAAGCAUGCAGACCAUAUUCCGCAAUAAUAUCAUAUAUUAUAUAAGCAGCCAAACAAGACUUCUUCCUUCCAAGCAAGCAAACCAUAUUCGACAAUAAUAGUUAAUAUUAUAUAAGCAUAAGUUCUUCUAUGUUUCCUUCUUCAUUGACGAGGUUGACAUGAUUUUUUAUGUUUUUUGUUGAGAUUGUAAUUUUUAGAUUAAACAUGAAAUGUUUUCUUACAUUCUAUUUACUUUUCUUCACUAUUGGUAGCAAAUUUUAUUUUUCUAUCCCGAUGGAAAUACCUAAUAUUGUUAUGAAUCAUGAAAAAUCAUAUCAAUCUCAUAUUUGUUGUUUGUGCUUGAUAGUAGGAUUUUCUUAAAUUUUGCAUUUUAAAUAUUUUUUUUUGGACUUCCCUCAUGUCUAGUACCCUACUUAAAAAUAAAAUAAAAUAAAAUAAAAAUAAAAAACAAUUAUUAACUUAAAAUUCUUCCAUAUUUAACCAUUUUUAAAAUGCGAGAAUUAAGCAAAUUGAGUAAUAUUCUCUUUGUUAGUUUUUAAGUGCUAAUCAAUUGAAGGUAAUCAUUCGGAAGGGGAGUGAAGUGGGGAUGGUCACUUUUUCAAAAUUUAAUAAUUAUAAAUACACAUAAAAUAUAAAUAAUAAUAUAAUAAAUCAAUAUAAGGAUAAUUUUCAAAUAAAUAAAGUAUGGAGGGGGACAUGCAAAUACUAAUUUUUAUAAUGGUUUAGCGUAACUUGACUUACACUUAUAUUCACCCUCCUCAAAUUCCAACCGAGUGAAUAUUCAACUAAUAAGGCUUCCAACUAAGCCUUCAAACUUAACCCAAUAAGAUAUAAUAUGCAAAGAAAUAUUGAAGUAAUAAUACUAAACAAAUCUCUUUAUAAAGUAGUUAGGAUUUCACAGAUGUACUAUUCGCAAUAAUAUUAUAACAUUGUAGGAAAAAAUUAAGGGAUUUUCAAUAGAUAAUUCUCAAAAACAAAGGUGAUUAAUUGUGUUUACAAGAAAAAAAAAUUAUUAUUUCUCUUCAAAAAUGAGCUUAACAAGGGACCCUUUUUUUUUUUGUCAAAAUUAGAAUAGAGUUUGAACACAUUAUUUGAAUCAACAUCUUUCCAAAAGUCAAGAGUGAUGGAAGGCAAAACCCAUCACUUGGUUGGCUGAUUCUUACCUAAUCAAAUGAACUACUCUUAUACAUUGUUUCUAGAAAGAAGUCUAAGAAAAUGUAUGGCACAAUGCAUGUGAUGGGAUCCACCACUUCUAGAGCAAAGUCUCAACUUCCAUGUGAACUCUAAGACCUCUCAAAAUCUUUUUUUUUUUUAUUAUUAUAUUUUUAAAUUAUUAUUUUCACAACAUUAAUUGCUUUAAUAUUUAAUGUUCCUUUCUCCUCUUUUUCUUUGAUAAUAGUGAAAUAUAUAUAUGAAAGCAUGUCUUCGUCAAUAAUUUAACUUUAGUUUUUCCAUUUUUAUGGAUAUCCAAAUAAUAAAAAAAUUAUGAUUUUUUGUUUCUCUCUUUUUCCCUAUAAUUUUUUAAUUUAUUUUUAUUUUCUCUAACUUUCUGAAAACAAAAUAUAACCUAAAUUUUUAUAUAGUCAAUUUGCAGCUAUGGGCAUAUGUCUUGUUUUAGAGUUUUUUAUGACAAUAUUUAAAUUAGCCUUGAAAUUUGGAAGUUAAUCCUAAAUUUUAGGUUGCGAAAGACCACAUUUUCUAUAAGCCCAACUAAAUAGAAACACAAAAAUAAUUCAUAUAGGUUCACUCAAAUUGAAUAAAACUCAUAUUUAAAAUAAGUUGAAUAAAAAAAACUUAAAUACAAUUGUCAUCACAAUAUUACAAAAAUGAGCUUAACAAGAGACUCUAUUUUUUCUUUUUCAAAAUAAACAAAUUUAAGAAGGAGAUUUAAUGCAUUAUUUGAAUCAACAUGUUACCAAAAAUUAAAAUCAAAAAUAAAAAUACAAAGAAUAAAAAGUUAAGAGUGAUGGUACACAAAACCCCACUAUUUGAUUGGUUGGUUUCUAUCUAAUCAAAUGCAUUAUUGUUGGGAUAAAAGAACCCUACCGGUAUGUGUAACGCCCAAGUUUUCAUUUUAAAGGGUAAUUUAGGAAAUUCUUAAUAAUGAUAUUAAAUUAAUUAAUUAAUUAAUUUAAUAAAAUGGAAGAGGGGUGAAAAGGUAAUUUUACGAAUAAUACCCUAGGUAUAAAUAGAAAAUUAUCUUCUUCCUGUUCUUUUUUGAAUCAUAUUCCUGUUCGCAGAGAAUUUCUAGAGAACGUGAAGUUAAGAUCAGAUUUCAAGGUUUGAAGAACAAACCUCUAUAGGUAAGUUUCUAACCUCUAUAUUAUUAUUUUAGAUUCAUUAGUUAAUUUCAAGCACAUUAGAUAUAUUUUUUUUGGAAAACCCCAAAUCUAGAUUAGGGUUAGAUUAUUUUUUUUUUAAUUCGUUUUAAUAUUAAAUAGUGAAAAUUUAAUAUUUUGAUUUAUUAUUGGAAUUGGGGAGAUCUUAAGUUUUUUUUUAUUAGAAAAAAAGAAAAUUCCUAUGAAAAUUUCGAUUUAGAUUAGGGUUAGUUUAUUAUUAUUAUUAUUAUUAUUAUUUCGUUUUAAUAUCAAAAUAGUAAAAAUUUAAGAUUUUGAUUUAUUAUUGGAAAUUGGAAAUUCUUAAGCUUUUAGAAAAAAAAAAAAAAAAACCUGGAAGAUGCGUGUGCACACUGUAGAAUUGGAGAAUGGUUUAAGGAUUAAAAGAAAAAAAUAGAGGACGCGUGUGCUCACUGGAAUUGGAGAAUGAAAAAAAAAUAAUAUAUUAUAUAUAUGGGUGUGGGUGUGUGUACGGAUGGAGGGAUGGGUGGUGUUUGGUAGUUAAUGUACAUAUAUGUAUAUAUAUUAUUAUAUUGACAAUGGAUAAAGUUUAUGUUUAAAAAAAAAAAAAAAGAGAAUAGAAGUUUUAAAUAAAAGAAAGUAAAGUUUUUUUUGGUAUUAUAAUUAUACUAAUAAUGAGUAUAAGUUAAUAAAUAACAUAGAAAUUAAUUAGUGAAAUAAAUUAUAGUUUAAUUAAAUUAAGUUGUGUCCCAAAAAAAAAAAAAAUUAAUUUGAAUACCUAAAAUUUUAGGAUUGACAAACCUGUAAUUUUAGAUAAAUAGUAAUGGUUAUUUCUCUUAUAUUUGUUAGGUGAAGAGUAGAUUUUCAGGAUUAUUUUUCUCCAAAGUUUUUGAGGACUUCUUUUGAGGUAAGGGAAGUUAAUGUAAUAUUUAUAAAAUUAAAUUAUUUCAUAUGUUAUUUUGAAUUGUGGAAAAUAAAAUGAUAUUUUGUUACCAUGCAUGGAUCAAAUUGUUUUGCACUAAAUGUUAUGUUGGAAUAUUUUGUUUUAUUUAUGACACAAAAUAUGGAGAUAUUAUGUUGUGUAAAUUUGAAUACUUGAACAAAAACAUCACUCUGGUUUAUUUGGCCCUUGUCAACGGGAUAUAAUAAUUGACUAUUUGGCCCUAUCAACGGGAUAUAAUAAUUGACCUUUACAUUUCAUGGUGGGAAUGUAAUUGAUUUGGACCCCAGCCUCUAGGGGUUUGGUUAGAGGUUACUAGUACUAGUAGCGUUUGGUUCCGUCCACCAGGAACAAUUUGAGGCUAGCCACCCAUUUGAAAAGUCCCACCUAACUGGGCAUUUGAUAUUUGAUAACCAGAGUAAUGAAACUUGAAUGAAUUUGAUUGAAUCUUAUGUGAAAGUGUUUGAAUUUGAUAUGAAAUUGGUUGGUUGAAUUUUGAAUAUAUUGGUAUUUUUGGAACUCUGAUAUUUGAUAAGAAAAAAAAAAUUUAUAUCUCCUAUUUGAAAUGAAAAUAUUUGAUCCAUGAAUUGCAUUAAUAUUCCUUAUUGGGCUGUGAGCUCAUUCCCAAUUGUUGAAAAUUUUCAGGUACUCUUAGUUCGGGUGAGGAGUGAUGGCUAGGCUGAAGAAUGGUCAUCAUUAGGAUUUGACUUAGGAUUUUAUGUUGGAUUUUGUUUAACUGUUAGUUAUGUUCAUUUGGAUCAUUUGAUAUUUGAAAGUUAUUUGGAAAUUGAAUUUUGAGGAAUUUAGAUUUUGUUCCGCUACUCUGAACAAGUAUUUGGUAAUUGGUAACAUCUAGUUACAAUAUGAUUGUUCGGGUCAGAUUAUACUUUAAGCCUUCGGGUUUGAGGUGUGAAAUGACCGUCACGCCCUUGGAGUGGGUCUUGGGGCGUGACAGUAUGUGAUGGGAUCCACUACUUUUGGAGUGAACUCCUGUAAACUCUGGCUGCUCAACAUUUCUUUAUCCUUAUUUUAAAAAAUUUAACUAUUAUUUUCACAACAUUGCUUGAAGGAAGUUGUUUUUUUUCAUAUUUUUCUUAGAUAAUAAUAAAAAAGUUUGGAAAAAGUUCCUUCCUCAAUAGUUCAUUUUUCUUUAAUUUUCUCAUUUUUCCUUUUCAUUAUUUAAUUUUGAUGAAAACAAAAUGAUAGCAUCCAUCGGAACACCAUUUUUAUGUCUAUUUGUCUUAGGGUAAGUGCUAUUGCAUUUCUAUGUAUAUUUGGUUUUAUUUCAUAUGACUCAAUUUACAUAAAACCUAUAGUUAAAAUAAGUUGACCAGAAAAAAAGGGGGUAAACACAAUUGCUAUCAUGAUAUUACAAAAAUAAAGUUUAACAAGUGACCUUAUUUUUUCUUUGUCAAAUUAAGAAAAGAUAUUUAGUGUAUUAUUUGAACUAAUCAAAUGCAUUAUUGUUAGGACAAAAGAACCCUAUAUGUGAUGGGAUCCACUACUUUUUGAGCUGACUCCCAACUUCCAUGUAAAGUCUAGGGCCUCUCGACAUUUUUUUAUGCAUUCACUUGUUUUUAUUUUUGUUUUUAUUUUUAACUAUUAUUUUCACAACAUUGCUGUAAAGAAGUUGUUUUUCUUUUCAUAUUUUUCUUAGAUAAUAGUAAAAAAGUUUGAAAAAAGUGGCUUCUUCAACAGCUUAAUUUUUUUUUUCUCACAUUUUCAAUGGAUAUCUAGACCAAAGAAAUUCUUUUAUAAAUUUUUCUUCUCAUUUUCUUUUAUCUUUUAUCUUUUUUAACAUUUUUUUUCAACCUUUUAAAAACUAAAUAUAACCUAAAGAAAAUAAUAAUAAAUAUAAAAACAAAUACAUAAGGAAAGACUUUUAACAUAAUUUUUUAUUAUAAAAAUCAUUGAAGUGCACAAAUAAACCUAUAUAUAAAUGAUUGGGAAGCUGGAAUCCUUUGUUCUCAAGAAUCUUUAAUGAUUGGGAAAUGGAAGAGGUGGAGGGCUUGCUUCAAAAAAUACACCCUCUGGUUUUGCAUAGUGAUGUGGAGGAUGUUUUAAGCUGGAAGAUUGGUAAGAAUGACUCUUUCUCUGUUAGAUCUUGAAAAUGUGAAUCUCAAUAAUGAACUACACCUAGAGGGGGGUGAAUAGGUGUUGUAGAACAAUUUUAAAAUUCUCCCAAUAAAGAUUACCUAACCUUAAUAAAACAUCCACAAGCAACAAUGUAUGCAUCAACACUCUCCCAACAAUUUAUAAAUGCAAAACACAUGCAAAUGCUUCAACACUCCUCAAAAAUAAAACAAAAUAUAGAGUGAGAGAAAGAGACACCAGAUUUUUAACGUGGAAAACCUCCGAAGAGAUCAAAAACCACGGGCCUAUCACCGAUUGAAAACUCCACUAUGAAGAAUAAAAAACUGAGUACAAGGUUUUACCUAGCUCAAGCCAACCAAUCCUUCCCGGAAUACUUGACUAGUACCUUCAUUUUCAGCUUCUCCUUUUGGAGCACACUUGGAGUCCGCACCAAGCUCAAUCUCGGCCUCUUCUUGAAUCCACACAAGAAGAAAAUGGGUUUUUGCACAACCCAAAUAGAAUGAGAGAUUUAGAUGUGAAUGAAAGAAUGAAUCAACCCAUUUAUUGCUCAAGAAAAUCCAUUGAAAACAAGUUUUGAAAACAUUAAGAGAAGUUGAUUUUCUUUGCAAUCAAAAACCCCAACUUAGGAAAGCAAAAAUGAGAAAUGAAGAACACUUGGGAGUGUGGCUGCUCUCCCCACGUUUUCAGCAGUCUCUCUACACAGAAAAUGAGAGAAGAUUGGGUUUUAAAGUGUAAAAAGAAACCCUUAAUCUAAUGGCUGAGAUUUGAUCAAAAAAACAUUAGUUGGAUAGAUCCACCCCUACACCUGGAUCGAUCCAGAAACAGAGGAAUAAAAGCCUUGCACCAAAAACCAUUUUUUCCAACUUUCUAACACAUUUUAAAGAUUAAAAACCGGGUUGAUUCACACCCAAUCACUCCACACUCGACUACAUACCUUGGCCUCUUAGCAAAGUCUUAGUCUUCAAAGUCAAGUAGUCCGAAUAGGAAUAGGAAAGCCGAGUUAGGGGACACUUAGGAAUUUUGUCCGGAAUUGCCAACCUAGCUAAACACUCACAGAUCUCUCUACCAAUCCCUCACAACUACCUCUAGUGAACCUUUUCCUUGGAGCAUCAUUUGGAGAUCUUGGGCACCCGUGAGAGUUAGUUUUUUUGCUUGGGAAGCGUCUUGGAACCGAAUUUUGACCACUGAUCAGCUUAAAAGAAGGGGCUGGAUACUAUCAAAUAGAUGUUAUUUGUGUAAAAUGGAAGAGGAAACUAGCGACCACUUGUUCCUAUUCUGCAAGAAGGCUAUAAUGUUAUGGAGCUUGCUUUUCUCCCUUUUUGACGUGCAGUGGGUCCUACAUUCCUCAAUCAAAAGGAAUUUGAUAGCUUGACAUGGUGCUUCUAUGAGCAAGGGAAAGGAAAAAGCUUGGAGGGUUGCUCCCCUUUGUUUAAUGUGGAUAUUAUGGAGGGAGAGAAAUGAAAGAGUGUUCAAUAACAAUGAACGUACCGACCAAGCUCUAAAACUCUCUUUUUUGUACACUUUUGUGAAUUGGGGUAGGGUAUAUUUAGAGAAUCAUUCUUUGUCAUUGUUUGACUUUAUAGAAUGACUUUUGUCUAGAUAAAAUAAAGGUUUUUCUUUUUGGCUUAAAUCCUUGGGCGUUACUUGUAUACUUCGUGUCUACUCUUUUCGCCUUUCUAGGCUUUUAUAAUACAUCCUCUUAUUUGCCUAUAAAAAAAAAACACCUAUAUAUAAAUGAACUUUCAUUGUUUUAAACGUUAAUUAUUAUUGAUAUAACAAAAUGUAGUAUAAAGAAAAUAUAAUUUUACAAAAUUUAUCCAUUAAUCCAAAUGAAUAAGAAUUAAAUGGUGUAAAACAAUUUUCUAUUUUUGAUUAUUUUAUUUUAUUUUAUCUCAUUAUUAAAUUUUGAUGGUAGAAAAAUGGUGGCAUCCAAGAGAACACUAUUUCUAUGUCUAUUUGUUUUACGGUAAGUAAGUGUUAUUAGUGCAUUCCAAAUAAAAUAUAAAAAAAUUUAAUAAUGUUUAUUGCUAGAUUUAAAUUUGACAUAACCAAUAUGCAGUUAUAAACAUAUCUUUAUUGUUUUAGAACUUUUUAACCUUGAAAUUUUGAAUUUAUCCUAAAUUUUACAUGGGGUAAGACUAUAUUUUCAUAAGCUCAAUUAAAUAAAUGCACCAAAAUUUUUUGUUUGAGGUUAACUCAAAUUCAACUAUUUAAAGAAGUAACGGCAAUUCAAAUAAUUUUUUCCAAAUUCAUUUUAAUUUAUAACCCACCUUCUAAAGGAGUUCUCGAUUUCUACCAAUUACUUCAAAUUUACCUUAUUUUAUAUCCCAUAUUUUCAGAAGUCAAUUUACUUCCAACCACACAGAUCCCACGAUAAUAUUAUAUGUCAUCUUAAAUCCAUAUCCAUUUGAUUGGUAGGAUAUUAUCUCUUCAUUUUUAUUUUUUUUUUAAGUUGACGUUGACUCAAGUCAAUCCCCUCUCUCCAUAUAUAGAUGUAUCAGUCUGAGAUCACUUACAGCCUUCUGAUCGUCUCUCAUCGUCUCUCUAGCUACACUUCCGUUCCAUCUACUUUCCAUCCUCUGCAGUAUUAUUUUCUUUGCUAUUUCAAAUAUGGCUGAACAAAUUCCAUUCGGUAUUGCUGAGAACCUUUUGAUGAAGCUGGGCUCUGCUGUUUUCCAUGAAAUUGGAUUAAUGUAUGGUGUCCGAGGUGAGCUGAGUAAGCUUAAGGAGAAACUGUCCACCGUCGGAGCUGUGCUUCUUGAUGCUGAGGAGAAGCAGGAGAGCAGCUGCGCAGUAGCAGAUUGGGUCAGGAGGCUUAAAGAUGUUGUGUAUGAUGCUGAUGACUUGUUGGACGACUUUGCAACCGAAGACUUGAGGAGAAAGACUGAUGAUCGUGGAAGAUUUGCGGCACAAGUGAGUGACUUCUUCUCACCUUCGAAUCAACUUGCUUUUCGAUUUAAGAUGGCUCAUGGAAUAAAGGCUAUUAGAGAAAGGCUAGAUGAUAUUGCAAAUGAUAUCUCCAAGUUCAAUUUAAUUUCCAGAGUUAUGUCUGAUGUCCGGGUAAGGAAUAAUGGGAGGGAGACGUGCUCUGUUGUGGAGAAAUCUCAUAAAAUUGUGGGUAGAGAAGAAAACAAAAGGGAGAUAAUAGAGUUGUUGAUGCAAUCAAGUACUCAAGAAAAUCUGUCAAUGGUUGUGAUUGUAGGCAUGGGGGGCUUAGGCAAGACCACCCUUGCUCAGUUGGUAUACAACGACCAAGGGGUGGUAAGCUAUUUUAAUCUUAGCAUGUGGGUCUGUGUUUCCGUUGAUUUCGAUGUUGAAGUACUCGUUAAAAACAUCUUAAUGUCUGCGACUAAUGAAGAUGUGGGAAACCUACGCUUAGAACAAUUGCAAAAACGUCUGCAAGAAAAGUUAGAUGGGAAGAGGUACUUGCUUGUGUUAGAUGAUGUCUGGAACGAGGACAAAAGGAAAUGGGGUCAGUUCAUAACCUUAUUGCCUGUUGGUGCAAAUGGGAGUAAAAUCUUGGUGACCACUCGAAGCACAAGAGUUGCAUCAGUUAUAGGAAUUGAUUCCCCAUAUAUUGUGGAAGGUCUUAAAGAUGACGAGUCUUGGGAUUUGUUUGAAAGUCUUGCAUUUAAAAAGGCAGAAGAGCAAAUGCACCCAAACCUUGUAGCCAUAGGAAAAGAUAUUGUAAAGAUGUGCAAAGGAGUUCCUCUUAUCAUCGAGACUUUAGGCAGAAUGUUGUACUUCAAAACCCAAGAAAGCCAUUGGUUGAGCAUUAAAAAAAAUAAAAAUCUUGUACAUCUUGGAGAAAAAAAUGAUAUUUUACCGAUAUUGAGGUUAAGCUAUGACAAUCUCCCCGUCCAUUUGAAACAAUGUUUUGCCUAUUGUGCAUUGUUUCCCAAAGAUUAUAUAAUUAAAAAAAAGUUGUUAGUACAACUAUGGAUGGCACAAGGUUACCUUCAACCAUAUGAUGAGAAUAUAGAUUUAGAGGAUGUUGGUAAUCAAUAUUUUGAAGAUUUAUUGUCAAGGUCAUUGUUUCAAAAAGUUGAAAAUAAAUAUGAUAACAAUAUGUUAAGUUAUAAAGUGCAUGACUUAAUUCAUGAUCUUGCACAAUCCAUUGUAAAUUCGGAGGUUAUCAUUGUUACUGAUGAUGUGAAGAUCAUUUCACAAAGAAUUCAUCAUGUGUCAUUAUUUACAAAACACAAUGAAAUGCUCAAGGGUUUAAUGGGCAAAUCCAUCAGGACUUUCUUUAUGGACGCCGGCUUUGUGGAUGAUCAUGAUAGUUCUAUAACUAGACUCCUUUCAAGCUUAAAAGGUUUGCGGGUAAUGAAGAUGAGUUUCUUCUUACGACAUAAGGCUCUGUCAUCUUUAGGAAAACUAAGUCAUCUAAGAUAUCUUGAUCUUUCUUAUGGGUGGUUUGAAAACCUCCCAAAUGCUAUUACAAGAUUGAAGCAUUUACAGACAUUGACGCUUUUCAAUUGUAUACGUCUAAAAGAAUUGCCGAGAAAUAUGAAAAAAUUGAUCAACCUGAGGCAUCUUGAGAUUGAUGAAGUAAAUAAAUUAAGUUAUAUGCCACGUGGUUUGGGAGAUUUGACUAAUCUUCAAACCUUGCCAUUAUUCUGGGUAAGGAAUGAUGGUGGGGAAUCCAGGCACAAGAGAAUGGGUAGGUUGAAUGAACUGAGAUUCCUUAACAAUCUCAGAGGACAACUACAAAUUAAAAGGCUUUCAAAUGCAAGGGGCAGUGAAGCUAAGGAAGCCAUGUUGGAGGGUAAACAGUACCUUGAGUGCUUGAGAUUAGAUUGGUGGAAACUACCAGCUACCCAGGAGAGUGAGGAGGCAAUGUUAGUAAUGGAAUGCCUGCAACCACAUCCAAAUCUGAAGGAGCUCUUCAUAGUUGAUUACCCAGGUGUGAGAUUCCCAAAUUGGAUGAUGAAUGAUGGGUUGGAUUUGCUGCUCCCAAACCUAGUCAAAAUACAAAUAUCGUCUUGCGACAGAAGCAAAGUUCUGCCACCUUUUGCACAACUCCCUUCUCUUAAAUAUCUAGAACUUUCCAAUCUAAUAGCUGUGGAGUGCAUGAUGGAUUACCCUUCAUCAGCAAAGCCAUUCUUCCCAUCUCUGAAGACACUCCAACUUUCUGAUUUGCCUAAUUUGAAGGGAUGGGGAAUGAGGGAUGUAGCAGCAGAGCAAGCUCCUUCAUAUCCUUAUCUUGAGGAUCUACGGCUGGACAACACCACUGUGGAGCUAUGCUUACAUUUGAUCUCUGUCUCUUCUUCAUUGAAGUCUGUGUCUAUUAGACGCAUAAAUGAUCUGAUAUCUCUGCCAGAGGGGCUUCAACAUGUUUCCACCCUACAAACUCUCACAAUUAGGGGUUGCUCUAGUUUGGCAACUUUACCAGACUGGAUCGGCCGCCUCACAUCACUUUCAGAGCUUUGCAUUGAAAAGUGCCCUAAUUUAACAUCACUGCCAGAAGAGAUGCGAUCCCUCCGCCAUCUACACACACUUAAAAUCAAUGGAUGUCCAUACUUAUAUGAAAGAUGCCAAAAGGAAACUGGUGAAGAUUGGCCUACGAUUUCUCAUAUUCCCGAAAUUAUCAUUCGGCGAUGGUGAAGCAGAUAUGUGAAGCUUGCCUUGUCUCUUUAAUGAAUGCGUCAUCCACAAUAAAUUUCGGUAUGCAAUCCAAUUUCUAGUUGUUUGCUGUGCUUUUUGUUAUUUGUUCGCACUUCACCUGUUAUAUAAAAUGCUUAGCUUACCAAAAUGCCCUGUUACUCGGUGUUUGCAGUUUACACAUUUGCAUUUUACUGCCGUCGAAUGUAUUGAGGUGAACCCCCACCACAUGUUGAAUUGAUUGGUAGUGUGAAGAAGACCAUUGAUGUAUAUAGGUGUAGAGUAAGGUGUUUUUUCCAUAGGGACUGCCACAAGCAAUUUAAUUUCUUUUUUUUUUUUUUUUGAAUGUUGAUUCUUAUAAGAUAGAACCAAAAGCAUAAAAUAAAAUCUAAUGCUUAUUUAGAGUUUUUUUGUAAUAUAAACAAGUGCCUAUCGCAAAGAAAGAACAUAGCAUAUUUUUGUGCAAUUUUAAAUUAUUCAUCGUUCUAUGUGUUUCCAAUCCAAUUUGUAUGGUUGUUUUUGCAGGGUUUAUGUUUUGUUACUUUACAAUUUAUCUCUUAAGAACCUUAUAUAUUAUGUUUUGCUAAUUUCAAUAUGUAAUAGCAUAUGUGAGGAAAAAGGUUUUUCAAUUUGUUUUCCUUCACUUUGUUGCAUGUCUAUGUUCUUUUACUCAUGAAUACAAUUGGGACUGUAAAUGCUAUGUUCGGUUUUCUUGUAGUUAUUCAGAAUAUCACUUGGGAUGUGCAUAUAAUACUUUCUUAUUAUAGAAGUCUUUGCCCUAGUUAUAAAUUAUGAUUUGAUUUUAUAUUUUUGGAUUGAAAAAUGCUUGUAAUUCUUUUCGCUAGUCUAAUUUCUUGAUGAUUCAUUCUAUUAAGCCAACACCCUUUAAUAUUCCUUAAAAAAAUGUUGACAAGCGGAGGAUAACCGAUGCAUAUGGAACGAGUUAGCUCACUUACAUCACAUUCCCAACCUAUACUCUUUUUAGCAUGUUGUCCAUACUUUGUCUCCACUAUUCAGGUUUAGAAUUGACUCCUCUCCUUUUGCUCUGAAUUGUUUACCCCUUUCAUUCAUUUACUAAAAUUUUUUGUACUCCUUCUGAUGUUUUGAUCUUUUUUUUUUAACUCUUAUUUGAAGUAGAACAACAAUAUACCACUUGAGCAAGGAGCACAUAUCAUUGAAUCCAUGUGGUAAGUGGUUAAUUCUCGUCUCUCAAGUUUCUUGAUCGUGGGAAUCUAAAUGCUUUGGGGUGCAUGGAUAACAAUAGCGACAUAUCUCCCUCAUUUUCAUUGAGAGGCAAGUUGGUUUGAGGGGAGUAUAAAAUAAGGAGAACUAGCAGGACCAUUCUUCCCAUUCCUGCCAUGAUGGAGGAAAAGAGACGGUGGAGGGAUAGUAUCAAUAUCACUAGCAAAACAACAAAUUUGAAGGGAUUACCCAUCAUCAGCAAAGCCAUUAUUCCCAUGUCUGAGGACACUCCAACUUUUUUAUUUGCCCAAUUUGGAGGGAUGGGGAAGGAGGGAUGUAGCAGCAGAGCAAGCUCCUUCAUAUGCUUAUCUUGAGGAUCUACAGCUGGGCAACACCACUGUGGAGCUACGCUUACAUUUGAUCUCUGUCUCUUCUUCAUUGAAGUCUCUGUCUAUUAGACGCAUAAAUGAUCCGAUAUCUCUGCCAGAGGGGCUUCAACAUGUUUCCACUCUACAAACUCUCAGAAUUUCCGGUUGCUUUAGUUUGGCAACUUUACCAGACUGGAUUGGCAGCCUCACAUCACUUUCAUACCUUUCCAUUCAAUACUGCCCUGAGUUGAGAUCACUACCAGAAGAGAUGCGAUCCCUCCGCCAUCUAUACACACUCGAAAUCGGUGGAUGUCCAUGCUUAUAUGAAAGAUGCCAAAUGGAAACUGGCGAAGAUUGGCCUAAGAUUUCUCAUAUUCCCGAAAUUAUUAUUUCGCGACAUUGAAGCAGGUAUGUGAAGCUUGCCUUGUCUCUUUAAUUGAAUGCGUCAUCCACAAUAAAUUUCAAGUAUGCAAUCCAAUUUCCAAUUGUUUGUUGUGCUUUUUCUUAUUUGUUCGCACUUCACCUGUUCGAUAAAAUGCUUAGGUUACCAAAAUGCCUUGUUACUCGGUGUUUGCAGUUUACACGUUUGCAUUUUAUUGCCGUCGAAAUUGUUGUCAUCUCAUUUCUCUCAAAUAUUAUAUAAAUUUCAGAAUAUAAUACUUGAAACUGUUGCACUACUGAUUAUUUAAGGCUUGGAAUGCCUUCAAAAAUUGCAACCAUCAUGCCUCUAGAUGGCCACCCAAGAAAACUAAAGCUCAGGAAACUCAGCCAGGAAUUUAUAUUAAUCAGAACUAGACUCUUAUAUGGAUUUGCUUGUAGUGUUUAACAAUGUUUGGGCUAGAACUUAAAGAAGUGUAGCUCCAUAUUCCUUGAUAGACAUGUUAAUGUAUUGAGGUGAACCCCACCACAUGUUGAAUUGAUUGGUAGUGUGAAGAAGACCAUUGGUGUAUAUAGGUGUAGACUAAGGUGCUUCUUCCACAGGGCUGCCACAAGCAAUCUAAUUUCUUUUUCUUAUUUUUUUUCUUUUUUUUAUGUUGAUUCUUAUAAGAUGGCACCAAAAGCAUAAAAUAAAAUCUAAUGCUUAUUUAGAGUUUUUUGUAAUAUAAACAAGAGUCUAUUGCAAAGAAAGAACAAACAUAUUUCUAUGCAAUUUUAAAUUAUUCAACUUACUAUGUGUUUGCAAUCCAAUUUGUAUGGUUGUUUUUACGGGGUUUAUUUUUAGUUAUUUUACAAUUCAUCUCUUAAGAACCUUAUAUAUAUUAUAUUUUGCUAAUUUCGAUAUGUAAUAGCAUAUGUGAGGAAAAAGGUUUUUCAAUUUGUUUUCCUUCACUUUGUUGCAUGUCUAUGUUCUUUUAUUCAUGAAGAUAACUGGGACUGUAAAUGUCAUGUUCGGUUUUAUUGUAGUUAUUCAGAAUAUCACUUGGGAUGUGCAUAUAAUACUUUCUUAUUAUGGAAGUCUUUUCCCUGGUUAUAAAUUAUGAUUUGAUUUUAUAUUUUUGGAUUGAACAAUGCUUGUAAUUCUUUUCGCUAUUCUAAUUUCUUGAUGAUUCAUUCUAUUAAGCCAACACCCUUUAAUAUUCCUUAAAAAAAUGUUGACAGGUGGAGGAUAACCGAUGCAUAUGGAACGAGUUAGCUCACUUACAUCACAUUCCCAACCUAUACUCUUUUUAGCAUGUUGUCCAUACUUUGUCUCCACUAUUCAGGUUUAGAAUUGACUCCUCUCCUUUUGCUCUGAAUUGUUUACCCCUUUCAUUCAUUUACUAAAAUUUUUUGUACUCCUUCUGAUGUUUUGAUCUUUUUUUUUUAACUCUUAUUUGAAGUAGAACAACAAUAUACCACUUGAGCAAGGAGCACAUAUUAUUGAAUCCAUGUGGUAAGUGGUUAAUUCUCGUCUCUCAAGUUUCUUGAUCGUGGGAAUCUAAAUGCUUUGGGGUGCAUGGAUAACAAUAGCGACAUAUCUCCCUCAUUUUCAUUGAGAGGCAAGUUGGUUUGAGGGGAGUAUAAAAUAAAGAGAACUAGCAGGACCAUUCUUCCCAUUCCUGCCAUGAUGGAGGAAAAGAGAUGGUGGAGGGAUAGUAUCAAUAUCACUAGCAAAACAACAAAUUUGAAGGGAUUACCCAUCAUCAGCAAAGCCAUUAUUCCCAUGUCUGAGGACACUCCAACUUUUUUAUUUGCCCAAUUUGGAGGGAUGGGGAAGGAGGGAUGUAGCAACAGAGCAAGCUCCUUCAUAUCCUUAUCUUGAGGAUCUACAGCUGGGCAACACCACUGUGGAGCUACGCUUACAUUUGAUCUCUGUCUCUUCUUCAUUGAAGUCUCUGUCUAUUAGACGCAUAAAUGAUCCGAUAUCUCUGCCAGAGGGGCUUCAACAUGUUUCCACCCUACAAACUCUCACAAUUGAAUAUAUCUCUGGUUUGGUCACUUUACCACACUGGAUCGGCCGCCUCACAUCACUUUCAAAGCUUCGCAUUGAACACUGCCAUAAUUUGUUAUUUCUGCCAGCAGAGAUGCGAUCCCUCCGCCAUCUACACACACUUGAAAUCUGUGAUUGUCCACUCUUAUAUAGAAGAUACAAAUACAAAACUGGUGAAGUUUCGGCUAUGAUUUCUCAUAUUCCCGAAAUUAUUAUUUCGCGACAUUGAAGCAGGUAUGUGAAGCUUGCCUUGUCUCUUUAAUUGAAUGCAUCAUCCACAAUAAAUUUCAAGUAUGCAAUCCAAUUUCUAGUUGUUUGUUGUGCUUUUUCUUAUUUGUUCGCACUUCACCUGUUCGAUAAAAUGCUUAGGUUACCAAAAUGCCUUGUUACUCGGUGUUUGUAGUUUACAUGUUUGCAUUUUACUGCCGUCGAAAUUAUUGUCAUCUCACUUCUCUCAAAUAUUAUAUAAAUUUCAGAAUAUAAUACUUGAAACUGUUGCAAUACUGAUUAUUUAAUGCUUAUAAUGCCUUCAAAAAUUGCAACCAUCAUGCCUCUAGAUGGCCACCCAAGAAAACUAAAGCUCAGGAAACUCAGCCAGGAAUUUAUAUUAAUCAAAACUAGACUCUUUUAUGGAUUUGCUUGUAGUGUUUAACAAUGUUUGGGUUAGAACUUAAAGAAGUGUCGCUCCAUAUUCCUUGAUGGACACGUUAAUGUAUUGAGGUGAACCCCACCACAUGUUGAAUUGAUUGGUAGUGUGAAGAAGACCAUUGGUGUAUAUAGGUGUAGACUAAGGUGCUAAAUCCGUGGGGACUGCCACAAGCAAUCUAAUUUUAUUUUAUUUUUUUAUGUUGAUUCUUAAAAGAUGGCACCAAAAGCAUAAAAUAAAAUCUAUUGCUUAUUUAGAGUUUUUUGUAAUAUAAACAAGUGUCUAUCGCAAAGAAAGAAUAGAGCAUAUUUCUAUGCAAUUUUAAAUUAUUCAACUUACUAUGUGUUUGCAAUCCAAUUUGUAUGGUUGUUUUUACAGGGUUUAUUUUUUGUUAUUAUACAAUUUAUCUAGCUCUUUAGAACCUUAUAUAUUAUGUUUUGCUAAUUUCGAUAUGUAAUAGCAUAUGUGAGGGAAAAGGUUUUUCAAUUUGUUUUCCUUCACUUUGUUGCAUGUCUAUGUUCUUUUACUCAUGAAUAUAAUUGGGACUGUAAAUGUCAUGUUCGGUUUCCUUGUAGUUAUUUAGAAUAUCACUUGGGAUGUGCAUAUAAUACUUUCUUAUUAUGCAAGUCUUUUCCCUAGUUAUAAAUUAUGAUUUAAUUUUAUAUUUUUGGAUUGAACAAUGCUUGUAAUUCUUUUCACUAGUCCAAUUUCUUGAUGAUUCAUUCUAUUAACCCAACACCCUUUAAUAUUCCUAAAAAAAAUGUUGAUAGGUUGAGGAUAACCGAUGCAUAUGGAACAAGUUAGCUCACUUACGUCACACUCCCAAUCUAUACUAUCUUUAGCAUGUUGUCCAUACUUUGUCUCCACUAUUCAGGUUUAGAAUUGACUCAUCUCCUUAUGCUCUGGAUUGUUUACCCCUUUCAUUCAUUUACUAAAAAAUGUUGUACUUCGUCUGAUGUUUUUCGUCUGAUAUUUUGAUCUUUUUUUUAACUCUCAUUUAAAGUAGAACAACAAUAAACCACUUGAGCAAGGAGCACAUAUUACUGAAUCCAUGAGGCAAGUGGUUAAUUCUCGUCUCUCAAGCUUCUUGAUCAUGGGAAUCUAAAUGCUUUGGGAUGCAUGGAUAACAAUAGCGGCAUAUCUCCUUCAUUUUCAUUGAAAGGCAAGUUGGUUUGAGGGGAGUAUAAAACAAGGAGAACUAGCAGGACCAUUCUUCCCAUUCCUACCAUGAUGGAGGAAAAGAGAUGGUGGAGGGAUAGUAUCAAUAUCACUAGCAAAACAACAGUAACCAACAUUCAUUACCUCUCUAGUUUCCUCGUCUUUUUAUUUUACUUGAGCUGAAAUGCAUGCUGAUAUAUCUAUAUCUUGAUCAGGAUUUAGAUCUGUAUAACAUCUCUUCCACAAGAGGAGCCCUAAGUGCUUACUUCUCCUAAUUUGGUAAGUAUGUUGCAUUAUUGUUUGUUUGUAUGAUUCUAAAUAUCAGUUUUGAAUGAUGAUGAAAAUUUAUGUUUUUCUCUCAUUUUCUCAAAAUUGAUGACAAAUAGAUAAAAGAUUCUUGUGCUCUUUAAUUCUAGCACACCAUACAAACAUAUUUUAGGUUUGCAAAUCACCCCAUAUUCCUUUUCUAUGGGGUUUACUUUUCAUUAUUUUACAAUCUGUCCUUUAAGAAUGUUACACUUUCUUUACAGCUUUAAUGGUUACCAGAGUCUUUGAUGCAUUUCCAAAAACACUCAUAUUAUGCAAGUCCUUUUCAUGGUUAUGAGUCAUGUUUGUAAUUCUUUUGAUUGGAUUUUAUUGGACAAAUUUAUUGCAGAUUUAUUCUAUUGCAGACCAAUACCAAAGGGGUGAUGUUGAGGAUUGGAUAGAUGCUUUUCAAUAUUCCAUAAAUAAAUAUUGACAUGUUAUGGGUACCCGAGGCAUAUGGGAAGAGUUAGCCAUUCAAUUCGAUAUUUAAGCUUUGCAUGUUGUCUAUAACAUGUCUUCAUUAUUCAGGUUUAGGACCCAUUCCUCUCUUUUUUGGUUUUGUUGGUUUAUUUUCUGUUAUUUAAUUUGCUAAAAAUUCUUAUACCUUGUCUUAUAGGAAGGGUGAAACAAGGAGAAUUAACAGGAUUAUUCUUCUCAUUUCUGCCAUGAUGGAGAAACUCAAAAACUAGAUAAACUUAAAACAUAUGUCGAGGUGGUAGUGGCAUUACCAGAUAAACAACAGAAGCUUCAUUCUUGCCAUGUUUUCCUUUUCUUCCUAUUCUCCUUGAGCCGACAUCCAUGCCACUGCAUCUAUAUCUUAAGGAUCCACAGUACCAUCUCCUUCAUUUCCUUUCUCCUUCCUACAUCCAUUGAUGUCUAUGCAUAUUGAUGGCGAUAGAGAAUCCAACAUAUGUUCCAAAAAAAGGAUUUUGGUACAUCAUUUCUCUCUUAAAUUUUGACAUGCCAUUGUUUAUUUGUCCAAGUCUAGAUAUUCGAAAUGUAAAUGCUAAUGGUGGUGAAAUCUUAUGUCUUAGGGAAUUUCAGCAAGUUAAAGAUUUUUAUGUGAAAGUAGGAAUCAAUUCUAAGAACUUGAGAGGUAGCAUUCAAUAUGUAUUCACCUUACUACAGCAAAGAAUCUAACACUUUGGGUAUGUGUUCAUUCUUUAACUUAGGUAAAAUAGAUGGUAAGUCACCUCACUAAGCUUGUUGUUAUUCAUUGUCAAGCUUGAAAUCACUACUAGAGGGAUGUCAAAAGGAAGCAUGUGCAGAUUGAUCUGAUGGCUUAUCAUGUCCCAAGAAUUCAUAUCUACCAGUCUCAAAUAGCUAAUGCACAAAGGACCUAUUCUCUCUUUACAAUUCGGGUGCACUAUCUGCAAUGCAUGUUCUAAGGUUUGCUAUGCCAACUUUUUUUCCUUCUUUUGAUGGCUACUUUAUUUCUUAUUUUCCAUUCAAUUUGUUCCAAUUCUUAUUUUAUAAGUUAUGUAUUGUUGGUGCAUAUGGAAUGAGUAAAUUCACUUGCAUCAUUAUGUCUCUAUUAUUCAGGUAUGUCAGUCCACUCCCUCUUCCCACCUCGAAACUCUUUAUAGCUUAGUUCUUCACUACAAAUUUUGUAAGAACUAUAAAAGCUCAAAUUCAACUAUUGUAUUUUAGUUGUUCAAAGCAAUAAAACAGCAACUAGUUGAGUGAGCGGCUCGUACUACUUGAAGUGCUUGAUUCAAUUUAUUGUUAGGUGCCUAGACAGAGGCCUUUAUAUAUAAUUUUUAACUGAAAACAAGUAAUAUGAUGUUUAGUGUGGAUGUUCUCUUCUAUGACAAAAGAGAGUAAUAAUUUCAUGUUCUUUUGCUCUUCUUUUGUCAGGAGGAAUUAUAUUGCCUAUUGCUAGGGGAAGAAGUUGCUAGAAUCCAAUACUGUGAGAGUGUAAAUUUUGGAGUUUCUUUGUAAUUGCAUUGUAAGAUCAUCUCAUCUCUAAGUGAAAAAACUCUUGGCUACAAUUGAAGCAUUCCAUUAUGUACAUAAUGUUGUUAGCUUGAUUGAUUUGGCAGGCUUAUUUCCCAAGUUUUGUAAUCAAGUUGUUGGUUCCGAUAUCGUUGAACAUUCAUGACGUAUGGAUCUUCUAAUUUGCAGGCUCCUAUGACAUCUUUCAAACUCAACAAAGGUUCAUUCGUAUCUCAAAAAUUGUUAUAGAUUUUACUUUUUAUGCAAGAGACUUCAAAAAUUAAUUCUUGUAUGAUUUUUUGUAGGAAAAAAGAUUGAGCUACAUGAUUGACCUCAAAGCAGAGAGAAUUAAUCAUUUUGAUGAGGUAUAUAUGGUAAGCCUUCAUCAUCAAUUGUCACAUUGUUCUUUAUGAUAAUUUGUGUUUUCUUUUAGUUCAUUCUUAUACAAUUCCUUUAAUAUCGAAAUUGAAAAACAAAGUACAUAAUUUAUUGAGUUGGCUGUUGUAACAUAUAGUUAUGACAUUAUUCAUGUUCUAAAAUAAUUGAAAGCCAAUCCAAGAUGAUUGAUCUAUAUGUUCAAGAUGCUUGAAAGGAGUGUCAUGAGUCUUUUUAUGGUACCAUUUGCAUAUUAGUGUAAGAGUUAUUAUUCUUAAACUAACUUUUUUCUUCUUUUUUUAUUUGGCGGAAUUAUAGGUGAGAAUCAAGUUUAAUCGAACUAUCCUUGGGACUGAUUUUUACUAGAAGAUAACCUCAUAUUUCAUAAUGUCAUUCAUUGUUGGCAUACAAAAGCUCAAUCAUUAAACAACUUAUGAAAUAAAAGGGUGGUCGAUUAAGAGAGGAAGAAUGGAUUCAAAAGUUGAUCUCCACUUCCCGCGCUUUCGAAGGCUUCAAUCAUGA
RNAcentral lists this long non-coding RNA (34928 nucleotides) under Vitis vinifera (wine grape). Its description in RNAcentral is "long non-coding RNA (VVIN_LNC004380)". Lineage: Eukaryota; Viridiplantae; Streptophyta; Magnoliopsida; Vitales; Vitaceae. The record is from RNAcentral.